This 703-nucleotide ribosomal RNA is filed under the name uncultured bacterium. RNAcentral's name for it is "bacterial SSU rRNA". It matches the Rfam family "Bacterial small subunit ribosomal RNA", at positions 1 to 742 of the family's 1533-position model. The record is from RNAcentral.
CGGAGAGUUUGAUCCUGGCUCAGAGCGAACGCUGGCGGCAGGCUUAACACAUGCAAGUCGAGCGGGCCCUUCGGGGUCAGCGGCAGACGGGUGAGUAACGCGUGGGAACGUGCCCUUCGGUUCGGAAUAACUCAGGGAAACUUGAGCUAAUACCGGAUACGCCCAUGGCCUCUGGCCCUGGGGAAAGGUUUAUCUGCCGAAGGAUCGGCCCGCGUCUGAUUAGCUAGUUGGUGAGGUUACGGCUCACCAAGGCGACGAUCAGUAGCUGGUCUGAGAGGAUGAUCAGCCACACUGGGACUGAGACACGGCCCAGACUCCUACGGGAGGCAGCAGUGGGGAAUAUUGGACAAUGGGGGCAACCCUGAUCCAGCCAUGCCGCGUGAGUGAUGACGGCCUUAGGGUUGUAAAGCUCUUUUCUCCGGGACGAUAAUGACGGUACCGGAGGAAUAAGCCCCGGCUAACUUCGUGCCAGCAGCCGCGGUAAUACGAAGGGGGCUAGCGUUGCUCGGAAUCACUGGGCGUAAAGGGCGCGUAGGCGGCUGAUUUAGUCGAGGGUGAAAGCCCGUGGCUCAACCACGGAAUGGCCUUCGAUACUGAUUGGCUUGAGACCGGAAGAGGACAGCGGAACUGCGAGUGUAGAGGUGAAAUUCGUAGAUAUUCGCAAGAACACCAGUGGCGAAGGCGGCUGUCUGGUCCGGUUCUG